GUUAUAUGGUCAAGUGAAGAAGCGCAUACGGUGGAUGCCUUGGCAGUCAGAGGCGAUGAAAGACGUGGUAGCCUGCGAAAAGCUUCGGGGAGUCGGCAAACAGACUUUGAUCCGGAGAUGUCUGAAUGGGGGAACCCAGCCAUCAUAAGAUGGUUAUCACACACUGAAUACAUAGGUGUGUGAGGCGAACCAGGGGAACUGAAACAUCUAAGUACCCUGAGGAAAAGAAAUCAACCGAGAUUCCCUUAGUAGUGGCGAGCGAACGGGGACUAGCCCUUAAGCUUCUUUGAUUUUAGCGGAACGCUCUGGAAAGUGCGGCCAUAGUGGGUGAUAGCCCUGUACGCGAAAGGAUCUUAGAAGUGAAAUCGAGUAGGACGGAGCACGAGAAACUUUGUCUGAACAUGGGGGGACCAUCCUCCAAGGCUAAAUACUACUGACUGACCGAUAGUGAACCAGUACCGUGAGGGAAAGGCGAAAAGAACCCCGGAGAGGGGAGUGAAAUAGAACCUGAAACCGUAUGCGUACAAGCAGUGGGAGCCUACUUUGUUAGGUGACUGCGUACCUUUUGUAUAAUGGGUCAGCGACUUAUUUUCAGUGGCGAGCUUAACCGAAUAGGGGAGGCGUAGCGAAAGCGAGUCUUAAUAGGGCGUCUAGUCGCUGGGAAUAGACCCGAAACCGGGCGAUCUAUCCAUGGGCAGGUUGAAGGUUAGGUAACACUGACUGGAGGACCGAACCGACUACCGUUGAAAAGUUAGCGGAUGACCUGUGGAUCGGAGUGAAAGGCUAAUCAAGCUCGGAGAUAGCUGGUUCUCCUCGAAAGCUAUUUAGGUAGCGCCUCGUGUAUCACUGCUGGGGGUAGAGCACUGUUUCGGCUAGGGGGUCAUCCCGACUUACCAAACCGAUGCAAACUCCGAAUACCAGCAAGUGUCAGCACGGGAGACACACGGCGGGUGCUAACGUCCGUCGUGAAAAGGGAAACAACCCAGACCGUCAGCUAAGGUCCCAAAGUCAUGGUUAAGUGGGAAACGAUGUGGGAAGGCUUAGACAGCUAGGAGGUUGGCUUAGAAGCAGCCAUCCUUUAAAGAAAGCGUAAUAGCUCACUAGUCGAGUCGGCCUGCGCGGAAGAUGUAACGGGGCUCAAACCAUGCACCGAAGCUACGGGUUCAACGCAAGUUGAGCGGUAGAGGAGCGUUCUGUAAGCCUGUGAAGGUGAGUUGAGAAGCUCGCUGGAGGUAUCAGAAGUGCGAAUGCUGACAUGAGUAACGACAAUGCGAGUGAAAAACUCGCACGCCGAAAGACCAAGGGUUCCUGCGCAACGUUAAUCGACGCAGGGUGAGUCGGUCCCUAAGGCGAGGCUGAAGAGCGUAGUCGAUGGGAAACGGGUUAAUAUUCCCGUACUUCUAGUUACUGCGAUGGGGGGACGGAGAAGGCUAGGCCAGCAAGGCGUUGGUUGUCCUUGUUUAAGGUGGUAGGCAGAGAUCUUAGGUAAAUCCGGGAUCUUAAUGCCGAGAGCUGAUGACGAGCUUUCUUUUAGAAAGCGAAGUGGUUGAUGCCAUGCUUCCAGGAAAAGCCUCUAAGCUUCAGGUAACUAGGAACCGUACCCCAAACCGACACAGGUGGUUGGGUAGAGAAUACCAAGGCGCUUGAGAGAACUCGGGUGAAGGAACUAGGCAAAAUGGCACCGUAACUUCGGGAGAAGGUGCGCCGGUGAGGGUGAAGUAUUUACUACGUAAGCCCAUGCCGGUCGAAGAUACCAGGCCGCUGCGACUGUUUAUUAAAAACACAGCACUCUGCAAACACGAAAGUGGACGUAUAGGGUGUGACGCCUGCCCGGUGCCGGAAGGUUAAUUGAUGGGGUUAGCGCAAGCGAAGCUCUUGAUCGAAGCCCCGGUAAACGGCGGCCGUAACUAUAACGGUCCUAAGGUAGCGAAAUUCCUUGUCGGGUAAGUUCCGACCUGCACGAAUGGCGUAACGAUGGCGGCGCUGUCUCCACCCGAGACUCAGUGAAAUUGAAAUCGCUGUGAAGAUGCAGUGUAUCCGCGGCUAGACGGAAAGACCCCGUGAACCUUUACUAUAGCUUUGCACUGGACUUUGAGCUUGCUUGUGUAGGAUAGGUGGGAGGCUUUGAAGCGUGGACGCCAGUUC
Molecule: ribosomal RNA, 2145 nt
Filed under: Stutzerimonas stutzeri
Lineage: Bacteria; Pseudomonadati; Pseudomonadota; Gammaproteobacteria; Pseudomonadales; Pseudomonadaceae
Description: Pseudomonas stutzeri partial 23S ribosomal RNA
Rfam family: Bacterial large subunit ribosomal RNA
Source: RNAcentral